GGGGAAUCCUCCCUCGCCUCCGCCCGCGGCACGAGGUUGCGCGGUUACAGCCCCGGUGCCUCUCGCGAGCGGCUCUGCGGUCCAGGACUCGGGGCAUCCUCUGGGUUCGCUUAGUAAAUUGAGACCGGGAUCCAAGUGGCCCGGGGCGCUGCUCUAAGGAAGAUGCUGACCGCAGUCGGUGAUUGCGAGAGCAGGUGCACGCGUCCAGAGCGACAUCUUACCGUUGGCGCGAUAAACUUACAUUACUUUAAAAACCAAAAACAACAAAAAUUUAGCAUUAAGUCGAAAGGCAAAUUAAAUCCCCAGGACAAUUCAGUUAAACGCCUGAAGGUGGCCCUUAAUUUCCCAUUUCUACUAAUCAAGAAGUGGCUUGCGACCUCCUGAAGCAAACCCAAAUAUUCUCAUUCGGUGAUUAAGUUUUACCACCUCUACACCAGUUUUUAAAUCAAUUUAACCGCAAAGUUCAGAACCCAAGUGGCACAGUAAAUGUGUGUGCAUUUAUAACGCAGAACCUGCAUUCUUUCCCCAGCAACCUGCAUUCCAUUUGUCUCAUUGACCCUACUGCAUUUUUCCUUCGCAUCAUUAAAAAGGAUGUAAUGUACAGAAAAGCACAGACAGACCUAAACUCCAAUGCCAACCAUGCCAUCUGCUGAUUAUAAGACAGUGGCAGGAUAGCAGAUGUAAUGCCUAGAGCUUGAGGAGACAUCUUGCACCACAGUGUGGAAACCAUGCACUAGGACAAAGGGACAGCAAAAGAGAAGGGUUCUGGGUCCCUGAUGACUCGUGAAACCUCUACCAGCUUUAGAAGGACACCUCUGGACCUGUGGAACAUAAGAAAUAAAGUCAGUAAGCUACUCUUAUUUAAAAUGUUCUCAUUUUCAGCAGAACCUAAUCCUAAUCACUACAAAUGAGUAAAGGAGCUGAGCCCAUUUUGUUUGGAGUAGCCUGGGGGUUUAAGAAAUGGUACCAGUCUUGUAAGUCUCUGAAAAGCUAACACCUGUGUAUGUGAGUACACAUGUUAGGUGAUGUUCUUGAAGGCAAAAGCAAGUUGGAGAGAGAUUUUGGCUCAGUAUAAGAAAAGCUUUCUGCUGGGCGCGGUGGCUCACACCUGUA
RNAcentral lists this long non-coding RNA (1113 nucleotides) under Homo sapiens (human). Its description in RNAcentral is "novel transcript, antisense to NUCB2". Lineage: Eukaryota; Metazoa; Chordata; Mammalia; Primates; Hominidae. The record is from RNAcentral.